GACGAACGCUGGCGGCGUGCUUAACACAUGCAAGUCGAACGGAAAGGCCCUGCUUUUGUGGGGUGCUCGAGUGGCGAACGGGUGAGUAACACGUGAGUAACCUGCCCUUGACUUUGGGAUAACUUCAGGAAACUGGGGCUAAUACCGGAUAGGAGCUCCUGCUGCAUGGUGGGGGUUGGAAAGUGUCGGCGGUUGUGGAUGGACUCGCGGCUUAUCAGCUGGUUGGUGGGGUAGUGGCUUACCAAGGCUUUGACGGGUAGCCGGCCUGAGAGGGUGACCGGCCACAUUGGGCCUGAGAUACGGCGCAGACGCCAACGUGAGGCAGCAGUGGGGAGUCUUGCACAAUGGGCGGAAGCCUGAUGCAGCAACGCCGCGUGCGGGAUGCCGGCCUUCGGGUUGUAAACCGCUUUCGCCUGUGACGAAGCGUGAGUGACGGUACUGGGUAAGGAAGCCCCGGCUAACUACGUG
Molecule: ribosomal RNA, 468 nt
Filed under: uncultured bacterium
Lineage: Bacteria
Description: partial 16S ribosomal RNA
Rfam family: Bacterial small subunit ribosomal RNA
Source: RNAcentral